Molecule: transfer RNA, 522 nt
Filed under: Aeromonas caviae
Lineage: Bacteria; Pseudomonadati; Pseudomonadota; Gammaproteobacteria; Aeromonadales; Aeromonadaceae
Rfam family: tRNA (bases 211-283)
Source: RNAcentral
CCUUAAGAUGUCGAAGUUGUUGAGUGUUCACACAGAUUGCCUUGAUUCAAAGUAGUUAGAGCAAAGACCUGGUGCAGUGAUGCAUCAGCUUCUGUUGUCCAGCCUUCGGGAUGGAUGAGAGAAAACCUCUUCUGCCGGAUAACGGGAUGUGAAUAGCAGUUUACUGCUACCUGUUGCUUCAGUGCGAAAGCACUGCAAAGCAGACUCGGGGUCCCCUUCGUCUAGAGGCCUAGGACACCGCCCUUUCACGGCGGUAACAGGGGUUCGAAUCCCCUAGGGGACGCCACUUCUCUUCUUGCUAACAAGAAUGCAGAGUUAAGAACUGAUUCUUAACUCUGUUUUCUUCGGUCACUGACCGUUGCAAACAUGCUCUUUAACAAUCUGGAAAGUGAUUUAAAAAGUAGUUCUCAAACAUUUGUUACAAGUGCUUUGGAAACUUCUUGGCGAAAACCAAAUUUUAUUUGGUCCUUGUUGUACGACAACAAGCCGUGCCGGUUUCACCGACACUUCUUGGGGUUGUAU